RNAcentral lists this ribosomal RNA (474 nucleotides) under uncultured bacterium. RNAcentral's name for it is "partial 16S ribosomal RNA". The stretch from base 18 to 298 matches the Rfam family "Bacterial small subunit ribosomal RNA", at positions 47 to 358 of the family's 1533-position model. The record is from RNAcentral.
CGAACGCUGGCGGCAGGCUUAACACAUGCAAGUCGAGCGGGCAUAGCAAUAUGUCAGCGGCAGACGGGUGAGUAACGCGUGGGAACGUACCUUUUGGUUCGGAACAACUGAGGGAAACUUCAGCUAAUACCGGAUAAGCCCUUACGGGGAAAGAUUUAUCGCCGAAAGAUCGGCCCGCGUCUGAUUAGCUAGUUGGUGAGGUAAUGGCUCACCAAGGCGACGAUCAGUAGCUGGUCUGAGAGGAUGAUCAGCCACAUUGGGACUGAGACACGGCCCAAACGCGAGCGGGAGGAGGGGGGGGGGAUAAGAGGCGGCUGGGCAGAGCCCGGGACAGGCCAGGCGGGGUGGGGGAAGGGGGCGCUGUGGGUGGAAAGGUCGUGUGGGCGGGAAAAUCGGGACGGCCCAGCAAGAAUACGCGCCGACUAGCUGCGGCGCAGCAGCGGGGGGAAUAAGCGGAGGAGCGAACGUCAGGAC